AUUGAACGCUGGCGGCAGGCCUAACACAUGCAAGUCGAGCGGAUGAGAGGAGCUUGCUCCUUGAUUUAGCGGCGGACGGGUGAGUAAUGCCUAGGAAUCUGCCUGGUAGUGGGGGAUAACGUUCCGAAAGGAACGCUAAUACCGCAUACGUCCUACGGGAGAAAGCAGGGGACCUUCGGGCCUUGCGCUAUCAGAUGAGCCUAGGUCGGAUUAGCUAGUUGGUGAGGUAAUGGCUCACCAAGGCGACGAUCCGUAACUGGUCUGAGAGGAUGAUCAGUCACACUGGAACUGAGACACGGUCCAGACUCCUACGGGAGGCAGCAGUGGGGAAUAUUGGACAAUGGGCGAAAGCCUGAUCCAGCCAUGCCGCGUGUGUGAAGAAGGUCUUCGGAUUGUAAAGCACUUUAAGUUGGGAGGAAGGGCAUUAACCUAAUACGUUAGUGUUUUGACGUUACCGACAGAAUAAGCACCGGCUAACUUCGUGC
RNAcentral lists this ribosomal RNA (485 nucleotides) under uncultured bacterium. RNAcentral's name for it is "bacterial SSU rRNA". It matches the Rfam family "Bacterial small subunit ribosomal RNA", at positions 30 to 508 of the family's 1533-position model. The record is from RNAcentral.